AAUUCGAUUAGUUUGAUCAUGGCUCAGGACGAACGCUGGCGGCGUGCCUAACACAUGCAAGUCGAACGGGACCGGGGGCAACUCCGGUUCAGUGGCGGACGGGUGCGUAACACGUGAGGAACAUGACCUUCGGCGGGGGAUAGCCGGCCCAACGGCCGGGUAAUACCGCGUACGACCACUCUGGGACAUCCCUAGGUGGUGAAAGCAGCAAUGCGCCGAUGGAGUGCCUCGCGGCCUAUCAGCUAGUUGGUGAGGUAACGGCUCACCAAGGCAACGACGGGUAGCUGGUCUGAGAGGAUGGCCAGCCACAUUGGGACUGAGACACGGCCCAGACUCCUACGGGAGGCAGCAGUGGGGAAUAUUGCGCAAUGGACGAAAGUCUGACGCAGCGACGCCGCGUGUGGGAUGACGGUCUUCGGAUUGUAAACCACUGUCGGGAGGGACGAAUACGCCGCAAGGCGGGUGACGGUACCUCCAAAGGAAGCACCGGCUAACUCCGUGCCAGCAGCCGCGGUAAUACGGAGGGUGCGAGCGUUGUCCGGAAUCACUGGGCGUAAAGGGCGCGUAGGCGGCCUGAUAAGUAGGGGGUGAAAUCCUGCGGCUCAACCGCAGGGCUGCCUUCUAAACUGUCAGGCUCGAGCACAGUAGAGGCAGGUGGAAUUCCCGGUGUAGCGGUGGAAUGCGUAGAGAUCGGGAAGAACAUCAGUGGCGAAGGCGG
Molecule: ribosomal RNA, 718 nt
Filed under: uncultured bacterium
Lineage: Bacteria
Description: bacterial SSU rRNA
Rfam family: Bacterial small subunit ribosomal RNA
Source: RNAcentral